AGGUGCCGGGCGCAGGCCCAGCGCGGCGUUAGUAGAGACGCGCCGGGUGCCAGCCCCUCGCCGCGCGCCGCACCUUAAAUUGUUGACAAAGUGCUCCCACUUUGUGGCUGGAGCCGUGCGACCUUGGCGCGGGUCCCCGAGUGGCGGGCUGGAAAACCUGGAGGCCAGAGCCGUUCGCGGACUCGCCCGAGCCCAGCCAGCCAGUGGGGAGAGGCAGGACGCGGACUCCGCGUGCUUUGAUUGCGCCCGGCAGUCCUCGGCGUGGGCUCCCGGCCUCGCAGCGGCAGCUGCAGCUGCAGCGGCACGCGAGAGCUGUCAAAUGCACGUUCUCGGACCCCACCCGGACCCACGGAAUCCGAAUCUCUGGGUGGGUCCGCGCAACUGUGGAGUGGCCCUCCGGGUGAUGGUGUGUGUUGCUUGCAAAGUUUGAGAACCACUCGGUUAUGGAGCACUAAGAGGCUGCAGCCGGAGUCCAGCCCUUUGGGUUAAGGUUACAGGGAGCCAGGGUUUCCUUUUAAAAUUCAUGCUGCAUAAAGGGUAGGGUGGCCUUUCUCCUUUUCCGGGCCAUUUUGGUUAAAAAGAUAAAGAUAUUCGAAGUAAUUACUCAGAGCGCAGGGGCCGGGGCUUGGCUUUACUGUUGUAGGUGAUAACCUUGUCAACUGCUUAUUAGUGAAUGCUGAGCAAGUUUCCCAAAGUUUGUAUUUUUAAAAAUAGAAAACCGUGAGGACAUACUGAAUGCCGGCGACAAAUUAACAGAGGUCCUUGAAGAGGCUAACACUCUGUUUAAUGAAGUGUCCCGAGCAAGAGAAGCAGUCCUGGAUGCCCACUUUCUUGUUUUGGCUUCAGAUUUGGGCAAAGAGAAAGCAAAGCAGCUGCGCUCAGACCUGAGCUCCUUUGACAUGUUAAGAUAUGUUGAAACUCUACUCACACAUAUGGGUGUAAAUCCGCUAGAAGCUGAAGAACUCAUCCGUGAUGAAGAUAGUCCUGAUUUUGAAUUCAUAGUCUAUGACUCCUGGAAAAUAUCAGGCAAAACAGCAGAAAACACCUUUAAUAAAACCCAUACAUUCCACUUUCUGUAAGAUUAUUUUAAAAAUCCAACAGACCAGCUAUUUGUGAACCUUAAAUUGCUUUUUCUUGUAGGGACAAAAAUUAUUUGGUAUUGUAGAGGUGACAGUCGUGAUGCCAUUGUUUGGAGACUUUUGAAACUUUGAUAUAAAAGUUCAUAAACACUAGGCCGGGCGUGGUGGCUCACGCCUGUAAUCCUAGCACUUUGGGAGGUGGAUGCAGGUAGAUCAUCUGAGCUCAGGAAUUCAAGAUCAGCUUGGGCAACAUGGCGAGAACCCAUCUCUACC
Molecule: small RNA, 1352 nt
Filed under: Pongo abelii (Sumatran orangutan)
Lineage: Eukaryota; Metazoa; Chordata; Mammalia; Primates; Hominidae
Description: retained intron
Source: RNAcentral